UGCAAACUGCGAAUACCGGAGAAUGUUAUCACGGGAGACACACGGCGGGUGCUAACGUCCGUCGUGAAGAGGGAAACAACCCAGACCGCCAGCUAAGGUCCCAAAGUCAUGGUUAAGUGGGAAACGAUGUGGGAAGGCCCAGACAGCCAGGAUGUUGGCUUAGAAGCAGCCAUCAUUUAAAGAAAGCGUAAUAGCUCACUGGUCGAGUCGGCCUGCGCGGAAGAUGUAACGGGGCUAAACCAUGCACCGAAGCUGCGGCAGCGACACUAUGUGUUGUUGGGUAGGGGAGCGUUCUGUAAGCCUGUGAAGGUGGCCUGUGAGGGUUGCUGGAGGUAUCAGAAGUGCGAAUGCUGACAUAAGUAACGAUAAAGCGGGUGAAAAGCCCGCUCGCCGGAAGACCAAGGGUUCCUGUCCAACGUUAAUCGGGGCAGGGUGAGUCGACCCCUAAGGCGAGGCCGAAAGGCGUAGUCGAUGGGAAACAGGUUAAUAUUCCUGUACUUGGUGUUACUGCGAAGGGGGGACGGAGAAGGCUAUGUUGGCCGGGCGACGGUUGUCCCGGUUUAAGCGUGUAGGCUGGUUUUCCAGGCAAAUCCGGAAAAUCAAGGCUGAGGCGUGAUGACGAGGCACUACGGUGCUGAAGCGACAAAUGCCCUGCUUCCAGGAAAAGCCUCUAAGCAUCAGGUAACAUCAAAUCGUACCCCAAACCGACACAGGUGGUCAGGUAGAGAAUACCAAGGCGCUUGAGAGAACUCGGGUGAAGGAACUAGGCAAAAUGGUGCCGUAACUUCGGGAGAAGGCACGCUGAUAUGUAGGUGAAGCGACUUGCUCGUGGAGCUGAAAUCAGUCGAAGAUACCAGCUGGCUGCAACUGUUUAUUAAAAACACAGCACUGUGCAAACACGAAAGUGGACGUAUACGGUGUGACGCCUGCCCGGUGCCGGAAGGUUAAUUGAUGGGGUUAGCGGUAACGCGAAGCUCUUGAUCGAAGCCCCGGUAAACGGCGGCCGUAACUAUAACGGUCCUAAGGUAGCGAAAUUCCUUGUCGGGUAAGUUCCGACCUGCACGAAUGGCGUAAUGAUGGCCAGGCUGUCUCCACCCGAGACUCAGUGAAAUUGAACUCGCUGUGAAGAUGCAGUGUACCCGCGGCAAGACGGAAAGACCCCGUGAACCUUUACUAUAGCUUGACACUGAACAUUGAGCCUUGAUGUGUAG
This 1211-nucleotide ribosomal RNA is filed under the name Escherichia coli. Its description in RNAcentral is "partial 23S ribosomal RNA". It matches the Rfam family "Bacterial large subunit ribosomal RNA", at positions 948 to 2141 of the family's 2925-position model. The record is from RNAcentral. Lineage: Bacteria; Pseudomonadati; Pseudomonadota; Gammaproteobacteria; Enterobacterales; Enterobacteriaceae.